UACGUAGGGUGCGAGCGUUAAUCGGAAUUACUGGGCGUAAAGCGUGCGCAGGCGGCUCUGCAAGUCGAGUGUGAAAUCCCCGAGCUUAACUUGGGAAUUGCGCUCGAAACUACGGAGCUGGAGUGUGGCAGAGGAAGGUGGAAUUCCACGUGUAGCGGUGAAAUGCGUAGAGAUGUGGAGGAACACCGAUGGCGAAGGCAGCCUUCUGGGCCAACACUGACGCUCAUGCACGAAAGCGUGGGGAGCAAACAGG
This 253-nucleotide ribosomal RNA is filed under the name uncultured bacterium. RNAcentral describes it as "partial 16S ribosomal RNA". It matches the Rfam family "Bacterial small subunit ribosomal RNA", at positions 524 to 776 of the family's 1533-position model. The record is from RNAcentral.